AUGAUGCAGCCGAAUCCCAUGUUCGAAUAUCAGGGGGGAUGGAACCCUCAUAUGCAGCAGAUGCCGCAAUGGCCCCAACACCCCAACUUCCAGUUUCAGUAUAUGACAGCUGCGGCAGGUUUUCAACAGCAAUUUAGUCCAGCAAAUCAGAAUUUGCAGUCAACUCAGGCAGUUCAGUGCAGUGGUGGAAGUUCUUCGGUGAGUGGGGGUGAUCAGUCUCAAGCUGGUCACAACAAGAGCAAGAAAAAGAAAAAUAAAAAUCAGGGUGUUGCUAUCCAGGCUCAGAGUGCUAUGCGUGAAGAUGAUCCCCUUUUCACUAUGGACCCAAAAUAUGUUGGAGCCAUCUGUUAUAACUGCGGACUCCCUGGACAUUUUGUUGGCAUGUGCGCAAUCCCUAAAGUGUGCUUCAUGUGCAAGACCCCUAGGCACCAUAUGGAUGCUUGCCCCUCUUGGUACAAAGCAUAUCCUGCAGCUACUUAUUGGGGGAGUGCUAGUCCUGGUCUUGGGUUUUUUCACAUUGAAACUAGUGGUGCAGGGGAUUGUGAGUGGCUCAAUUUUGGCAAUGUGGGACUUGUUCUUAUUUAA
This 585-nucleotide ribosomal RNA is filed under the name Triticum aestivum (bread wheat). Its description in RNAcentral is "partial small subunit ribosomal RNA". The record is from RNAcentral. Lineage: Eukaryota; Viridiplantae; Streptophyta; Magnoliopsida; Poales; Poaceae.